This 308-nucleotide long non-coding RNA is filed under the name Mytilus galloprovincialis (Mediterranean mussel). Lineage: Eukaryota; Metazoa; Mollusca; Bivalvia; Mytilida; Mytilidae. The record is from RNAcentral.
AAUUUUUCGAAAAACUAAGGAUUUUCUUUUACCAGGAAUUAGAUUACCUUAGCCGUAUUUGGCACAAUUUUUUGGAAUUUUGGAUCCUGAAUGCUCUUCAACUUGGUACGUGUUUGGCUUUAUAACUAUUUUGAUCGUCACUGAUGAGUCUUUAUGUAGACGAAACGCGCGUCUGACGUACUAAAUUAUAAUCCUGGUACUUUUGAUAACUAUUUACAUGUAAAUGAUAGUUCAAUCACUGAAAUAAAAAAAACUAUAAAUUACUCCACUUGUUCUCAUCAUGUAAACAAAAGUACAACCAAAGUACA